Myotis myotis is the source of this 1235-nucleotide RNA transcript. It is a transcript of the gene named transmembrane protein 134, with no coding region annotated. The record is from RefSeq and is a predicted model, not a curated record. NCBI's taxonomy places the organism in Eukaryota, Metazoa, Chordata, Mammalia, Chiroptera, Vespertilionidae. The transcript is spliced from 6 exons.
CCCCCGCCCGGCUCCGGGCGGGACCCCGGCCGGACCUGGAGGACCCCAGCUCUGGGAGAACCUGCCGCGAGGCCCUGGCCGGAGUGGGAGGCCGCCCCGCGACGCGGCCCCUGAUGGAGCCCGGCCCAGACCCUCUCGGCUCCGAUGCUGGUCCCCAGCCGCCACCCGAGCGCCCAGGGACCGGCCCCGGGGGGGCCCUCCCAGCCCCGCCGCGGGCCUCGCCCUCCCUGGGCGCCGCCCCCUCCCUCCUCGGAUGUGAGGAAGGAGCUGGGGAGCCCUUCGGUGCCUGGACCAGACCUCGUCCAUGUUCAGGGCAACCAGAUGCUCUGGCAGGAACCUGCGCCCCCUCUUCUGUUCCGAAGGCUCCAUCCCUCCGCCCCCCGCUCACAGGAGCCCUUGCCCACCUCGACUCCCUCCAGCUGGAAAUCCCCCUUUUCCCAGAACCUGGAGAACGAUGAGGAAGGAACCCAGGUGUCUCCGGAGCCAGAUGGGGGAGUCAACACCAGGGAUUCUGGCCGAACAUCCUCUGUCCGCAGCUCCCAGUGGUCCUUCAGUACCAUCAGCAACAGCACCCAGCGCUCCUACAAUGCCUGUUGCAGCUGGACUCAGCACCCUUUGAUCCAGAAGAACCGAAAGGUAGUGCUGGCCUCCUUCCUGCUGCUGCUGCUGGGGUUGGACUCUGGCUGCUUGGUGACCCAGACUACAACCUCAGAGUGAGCAGCUGCAGCAGAAAAUGUGCUCCUCAGCCUCAAAUCUUGACUAUCCAGCCCUUUACAGAAAACAUAUGCCACCCCUGGAGCUGAAGUACGGCAGCAAUCAUCUCAGUUUUUAUUUUAUCUACCUCAGUGUAAGAGAGACACAUCGACUGGUUGCCUCCCGCACGCACUCUGACCUGGGCCAGGGAUUGAACCUGCAACCCAGGUACAUGCCCUUGGCUGGGAAUUGAACUUGUGACCCUUUGGUUCUCGGGCCGGCACUCUCACCACUGGGCAACACCAGCAGGGCUACAUUAGAACUUUAAACGUUUGAUUGGGGGUCUGUCAAAGGGUUCCUCCCUCCCUUCCACUCUCUCAGAAAAGCAAUGGAAAAAGUAUCCUCAGGUGAGGAUCAACAACAACAAAACUGAAGCCUCCCCUCCCGCCUUCCAUUUUGCUUUGUCUAUUAUUUCAGUCCCUUCUUGUUUUUAAAUCCCCCAAAUAAAAUUUGUAAAGUAAAUGCUUCUUUAAAUCCACCAA